AUUGAACGCUAGCGGCAGGCCUAACACAUGCAAGUCGAACGGUAACAGGAAGAAGCUUGCUUCUUUGCUGACGAGUGGCGGACGGGUGAGUAAUGUCUGGGAAACUGCCUGAUGGAGGGGGAUAACUACUGGAAACGGUAGCUAAUACCGCAUAACGUUGCAAGACCAAAGAGGGGGACCUUCGGGCCUCUUGCCAUCGGAUGUGCCCAGAUGGGAUUAGCUAGUAGGUGGGGUAACGGCUCACCUAGGCGACGAUCCCUAGCUGGUCUGAGAGGAUGACCAGCCACACUGGAACUGAGACACGGUCCAGACUCCUAUGGGAGGCAGCAGUGAGGAAUAUUGCACAAUGGGCGCAAGCCUGAUGCAGCCAUGCCGCGUGUAUGAAGAAGGCCUUCGGGUUGUAAAGUACUUUCAGCGGGGAGGAAGGGAGUAAAGUUAAUACCUUUGCUCAUUGACGUUACCCGCAGAAGAAGCACCGGCUAACUCCGUG
RNAcentral lists this ribosomal RNA (490 nucleotides) under uncultured bacterium. RNAcentral's name for it is "partial 16S ribosomal RNA". It matches the Rfam family "Bacterial small subunit ribosomal RNA", at positions 30 to 507 of the family's 1533-position model. The record is from RNAcentral.